GAGGCCGCUCACAAAGUCUCGCGGCAUUCCGAGUCCGGCGGACGAAGUUGGCCAGCCCCACCCCCCAAGGCUAUAGCCCACCCGUUUUUGUGGCCUUUUUCCGCUGGACAAACUUGGCGACCCGGUUUUCGGGGGAUUAUUUUUCAGCGUAGCUGUGCCCGCGGCCUAUUUUUGGCAAACGGAGGCCGCUCGCAAAGUCUCGCGCCAUUCCGAGUCCGGCGGACGAAGUUGGCCAGCCCCACCCCCCAAGGCAAUAGCCCACCCAUUUUUGUGGCCUUUUUCCGCUGGACGAACUUGGCGCCCCGGCCUUCGGGCUGUUAAUUUUGGGAACGGCUGUGCCCGCCGCCUAUUUUUGGCACAUGGAGCCCGCUCACAAAGUCGCGCGCCAUUCUGAGUCCGGCGGAUGAAGUUGGCCAUCCCCACCCCCCAAGGCUAUAGCCCACCCGUUUUUGUGGCCUUUUUCCGCUAGACGAACUUGGCGCCCCGGCCUUCGGGCGUUUGUUUUUGGGCGCGGCUGUGCCCGCGGCCUAUUUCGGGCACAUGGAGGCCGCUCGCAUAGUCUCGCGCCAUUCCGAGUCCGGCGGACGAAGUUGGCCAGCCCCAGCCCCGAAGGCUAUAGCCCACCCGUUUUUGUGGCCUUUUUCCGCUGGACGAACUUAGCGCCCCGGCCUUCGGGCGGUUAUUUUUGGGCAAGGCUGUGCCGGCGGCCUAUUUUUGGCACAUGGAGCCUGCUCGCAAAGUCUCGCGCCAUUCCGAGUCCGGCGGUCGAAGUUGGCCAGCCCCACCCCCCAAGGCUAUAGCCCACCCGUUUUUGUGGCCUUUUUCCGCUGGAAGAACUUGGCGCCGCGCCCUUCGGGUGGUUAUUUUUGGGCGCGGCUGUGCCCGCGGCCUAUUUUUGGCACACGGAGGCCGCUCGUAAAGUCUCGUGGCAUUCUGAGUCCGGCGGACGAAGUUGGCCAGCCCCACCCCCCAAGGCUACAGCCCACCCGUUUUUGUGGCCUUUUUCCGCUGGACGAACUUUACGCCCCGGCCUUCGGGGGGGUUAUUUUUGGGCGCGGCUUUGCCCGCGGCAUAUUUUUGGCACACGGAGGCCCCUCACAAAGACUCGCGGCAUUCCGAGUCCGGCGGACAAAGUUGGCCUGCCCCACCCCCCAAGGCUAUAGCCCACCCGUUUUUGUGGCCUUUUUCUGCUGGACGAACUUGGCGCCCCGGCCUUCGGGCGGUUAUUUUUCGGCGCGGCUGUGUUUGCGGCCUAUUUUUGUUACACGGAGGCCGCUCGCAAAGUCUCGCGCCAUUCCGGGUCCGGCGGUCGAAGUUGGGCAGCCCCACCCCCCAAGGCUAUAGCCGACCCAUUUUUGUGGCCUUUUUCCAAUGGACGAACUUGGCGCCCCGGCCUUCGGGCGUUUAUUUUUGGGCCUGGCUGUGUCCGCGGCGUAUUUUUGGCACAUGGAGCCUGCUCGCAAAGUCUCGCGCCAUUCCGAGUCCGGCGGACGAAGUGGGCCAGCCCCACCCCCCAAGGCUAUAGCCCACCCGUUUUUGUGGCCUUUUUCCGCUCGACGAACUUGGCGCCCCGACCUUCGGGCGGGUAUUUUUGGCCGCGGCUGUGCCCACGGCCUAUUUUUGGCACACGGAGGCCGCUCGCAAAGUCUCGUGCCAUUCCGAGUCCGGCGGACGAAGUUGGCCAGCCCCACCCCCCAAGGCUAUAGCCCACCCGUUUUUGUGGCCUUUUUCCGCUGGACAAACUUGGCGCCCCGGUUUUCGGGCAGUUAUUUUUGGGCGUAGCUGUUCCCGCGGCCUAUUUUUGGCAAACGGAGGCCGCUCGCAAAGUCUCGCGCCAUUCCGAGUCCGGCGGACGAAGUUGGCAAGCCCCACCCCCCAAGGCUAUAGCCCACCCGUUUUUGUGGCCUUUUUCCGCUGCACGAACUUGGCGCCCUGGCCUUCGGUCGGUUAUUUUUGGGCGCGGCUGUGCCCACGGCCUAUUUUUGGCACACGAAGGCCGCUCGCAAAGUCUCGCACCAUUCCGAGUCCGGCGGACAAAGUUGGCCAGCCCCACCCCCCAAGGCUAUAGCCCACCCGUUUUUGUGGCCUUUUUCCGCUGGACAAACUUGGCGCCCCGGCCUUCGGGCGGUUUUUUUUUGGGCGCGGCUGAGCCCGCGGCCUAUUUUUGGCACACGGAGGCCGCUCACAAAGUCUCGCACCAUUGCGAGUCCGGCAGACGAAGUUGGCCAGCCCCACCCCCCAAGGCUAUAGCCCAACCGUUUUUGUGGGCUUUUUCCGCUGGACGAACUGGGUGCCCCGGCCUUCGGGCGGUUAUUUUUGGGUUCGGCUGUGCCCGCGGCCUAGGUUUGGCACACGGAGGCGCCUUGCAAAGUCUCACGCCAUUCCGAGUCCAGCGGACGAAGUUGGCCAGCCCCACCCCCCAAGGAAAUAGCCCACCCGUUUUUGUGGCCUUUUUCCGCUGGACGAACUUGGCGCCCCGGCCUUCGGCCAGUUAUUUUUGGGCGCGGCUGUGCCCGCGCCCUAUUUUUAGCACACGGAGGUACCUCGCAAUGUCUCGCGCCAUUCCGAGUCCGGUGGACGAAGUUGGCCAGCCCCACCCCCCAAGGCUAUAGCCCACCCGCUUUUGUGGGCUUUUUCCGCUGGACGAACUUGGCGCCCCCGCCUUCGGGCGGUUAUUUUUUGGCGCGGCUGUGCCCGCGGCCUAUUUUUGGCACUCGGAGGCACCUCGCAAAGUGUCGCACCAUUCCAAAUCCGGCGGACGAAGUUGGCCAGCCCCACCCCCCAAGGCUAUAGCCCACCCGUUUUUGUGGGCUUUUUCCGCUGGACGAACUUGAUGCCCCGGGCUUCGGGUGGUUAUGUUUGGGCGCGGCUGUGCCCGCGGCCUAUUUUUGGCACACGGAGGUGCCUCGCAAUGUCUCGUGCCAUUCCGAGUCCAGCGGAUGAAGUUGGCCAACCCCACCCCCCGAGGCUAUAGCCCACCCGUUUUUGUGGCCUUUUUCCGCUGGACGAACAUGGCGCCCCGGUCUUCGGGCAGUUAUUUUUGGGCGCGGCUGUGCCCACGGCCUAUUUUUGGCACACGGAGGUGCCUCGCAAAGUCUGGCGGCAUUCCGAGUCCAGCGGACGAAGUUGGCGAGCCCCACCCCCCAUGGCUAUAGCCCACCCGUUUUUGUGGCCUUUUUCAGCUGGACGAAGUUGGCGCCCCGGUCUUCGGGCGGUUAUUUUUGGGCGCGGCUGUGCCUGUGGCCUAUUUUUGGCGCACGGAGGAGCCUCGCAAAGUCUCGCGCCAUUCCGAGUCCGGCGGACGAAGUUGGCCAGCCCCACCCCCCAAAGGCUAUAGCCCACCCGUUUUUGUGGCCUUUUUCCGCUGGACGAACUUGGCGCCCCGGCCUUCGGGCGGUUAUUUUUGGGCGUGGCUGUGCCCACGGCCUACUUUUGGCACACGGAGGUGCCUCACAAAGUGUCGCGCCAUUCCGAGUCCGGAGGACGAAGUUGGCCAGCCCCACCCCCGAGGGCUAUAGCCCACCCGAUUUUGUGGCCUUUUUCCGCUGGACGAACUUGGCGCCCCGGCCUUCGGGCGGUUAUUUUAGGGCGGGGCUGUGACCGCGGCCUAUGUUUGGCACACGGAGGCCCCUCGCAAAGUCUCCCGGCUUUCCGAGUCCGGCAGACGAAGUUGGCUAGCCCCACCCCCGAAGGCGAUAGCCCACCCGUUUUUGUGGCCUUUUUCCGCUGGACGAACUUGGCGCCCCAGCCUUCGGGUGGUUAUUUUUGGCACACGGAGGCCCCUCACAAAGUCUCGCGGCAUUCCGAGUCCGGCGGACGAAGUUGGCCAGCCCCACCCCCCAAGGAAAUAGCCCACCCGUGUUUGUGGCCUUUUUCCGGUGGACGAACUUGGCGCCCCGGCCUACGGGCGGUAUUUUUGCGCGCGGCUUUGACUGCGGCCUAUGUUUGGCACACGGAGGCCCCUCGCAAAGUCUCCCGGCUUUCCGAGUCUGGCAGACGAAGUUGGCUAGCCCCACCCCCGAAGGCGAUAGCCCACCCGUUUUUGUGGCCUUUUUCCGCUGGACGAACUUGGCGCCCCAGCCUUCGGGUGGUUAUUUUUUGGCGCGGCUUUGCCCGCGGCCUUUUUUUUGGCACACGGAGGCCCCUCGUAAAAUCUUGCGGCAUUCCGAGUCCGGCGGACGAAGUUAGCCAGCCCCACCCCCCAAGGCUAUAGCCCACCCGUUUUUGUGGACUUUUUCCGCUGGACGAACUUGGCGCCCCGUCCUUCGUGCGGUUAUUUUUCGGCGCGGCAUUGCCCGCGGCCUAUUUUUGGCACACAGAGGGCCCUUGCAAAGUCUCGCGGCAUUCCGAGACCGGCGGACGAAGUCGGCCAGCCCCAGCCCCCAAGGCUAUAGCCCCCCCGUUUUUGUGGCCUUUUUCCGCUGGGCGAACUUGGAGCCCCGGCCUUCAGGCGGUUAUUUUUGGGCGCGGCUUUCCCUGCGUCCUAUUUUUGGCACACGGAGACCCCUCGUAAAGUCUCGUGGCAUUCUGAGUCCGGCGGACGAAGUUGGCCAGCCCCACCCCCCAAGGCUACAGCCCACCCGUUUUUGUGGCCUUUUUCCGCUGGACGAACUUUACGCCCCGGCCUUCGGGGGGGUUAUUUUUGGGCGCGGCUUUGCCCGCGGCAUAUUUUUGGCACACGGAGGCCCCUCACAAAGACUCGCGGCAUUCCGAGUCCGGCGGACAAAGUUGGCCUGCCCCACCCCCCAAGGCUGUAGCCCACCCGUUUUUGUGGCCUUUUUCUGCUGGACGAACUUGGCGCCCCGGCCUUUGGGCGGUUAUUUUUCGGCGCGGCUGUGUUUGCGGCCUAUUUUUGUUACACGGAGGCCACUCGCAAAGUCUCGCGCCAUUCCGGGUCCGGCGGUCGAAGUUGGGCAGCCCCACCCCCCAAGGCUAUAGCCGACCCAUUUUUGUGGCCUUUUUCCAAUGGACGAACUUGGCGCCCCGGCCUUCGGGCGUUUAUUUUUGGGCCUGGCUGUGUCCGCGGCCUAUUUUUGGCACAUGGAGCCUGCUCGCAAAGUCUCGCGCCAUUCCGAGUCCGGCGUACGAAGUUGGCCAGCCCCACCCCCCAAGGCUAUAGCCCACCCGUUUUUGUGGCCUUUUUCCGCUGGACGAACUUGGCGCCCCGGCCUUCGGGAUGUUAAUUUUGGGCACGGCUGUGCCCGCGGCCUAUUUUUGGCAAAUGAAUCCCGCUCGCAAAGUCUCGCGCCAUUCUGAGUCCGGCGGAUGAAGUUGGCCAUCCCCACCCCCCAAGGCUAUAGCCCACCCGUUUUUGUGGCCUUUUUCCGCUGGACGAACUUGGUGCCCCGGCCUUCGGGCGGUUAUUUUUGGGUUCGGCUGUGCCCGCGGCCUAGGUUUGGCACACGGAGGCGCCUCGCAAAGUCUCACGCCAUUCCGAGUCCAGCGGACGAAGUUGGCCAGCCCCACCCCCCAAGGAAAUAGCCCACCCGUUUUUGUGGCCUUUUUCCGCUGGACGAACUUGGCGCCCCGGCCUUCGGCCAGUUAUUUUUGGGCUCGGCUGUGCCCGCGCCCUAUUUUUAGCACACGGAGGUACCUCGCAAUGUCUCGCGCCAUUCCGAGUCCGGCGGACGAAGUUGGCCAGCCCCACCCCCCAAGGCUAUCGCCCACCGGCUUUUGUGGGCUUUUUCCGCUGGACGAACUUGGCGCCCCCGCCUUCGGGCGGUUAUUUUUUGGCGCGGCUGUGCCCGCGGCCUAUUUUUGGCACUCGGAGGCACCUCGCAAAGUGUCGCACCAUUCCAAAUUCGGCGGACGAAGUUGGCCAGCCCCACCCCCCAAGGCUAUAGCCCACCCGUUUUUGUGGGCUUUUUCCGCUGGACGAACUUGAUGCCCCGGCCUUCGGGUGGUUAUGUUUGGGCGCGGCUGUGCCCGCGGCCUAUUUUUGGCACACGGAGGUGCCUCGCAAUGUCUCGUGCCAUUCCGAGUCCAGCGGAUGAAGUUGGCCAGCCCCACCCCCCGAGGCUAUAGCCCACCCGUUUUUGUGGCCUUUUUCCGCUGGACGAACUUGGCGCCCCGGUCUUCGGGCAGUUAUUUUUGGGCGCAGCUGUGCCCGCGGCCUAUUUUUGGCACACGGAGGUGCCUCGCAAAGUCUGGCGGCAUUCCGAGUCCAGCGGACGAAGUUGGCGAGCCCCACCCCCCAUGGCUAUAGCCCACCCGUUUUUGUGGCCUUUUUCCGCUGGACGAAGUUGGCGCCCCGGUCUUCGUGCGGUUAUUUUUGGGCGCGGCUGUGCCUGCGGCCUAUUUUUGGCGCACGGAGGAGCCUCGCAAAGUCUCGCGCCAUUCCGAGUCCGGCGGACGAAGUUGGCCAGCCCCACCCCCCAAAGGCUAUAGCCCACCCGUUUUUGUGGCCUUUUUCCGCUGGACGAACUUGGCGCCCCGGCCUUCGGGCGGUUAUUUUUGGGCGCGGCUGUGCCCACGGCCUAUUUUUGGCACACGGAGGUGCCUCACAAAGUGUCGCGCCAUUCCGAGUCCGGAGGACGAAGUUGGCCAGGCCCACCCCCGAAGGCUAUAGCCCACCCGAUUUUGUGGCCUUUUUCCGCUGGACGAACUUGGCGCCCCGGCCUUCGGGCGGUUAUUUUAGGGCGGGGCUGUGACCGCGGCCUAUGUUUGGCACACGGAGGCCCCUCGCAAAGUCUCCCGGUUUCCGAGUCCGGCAGACGAAGUUGGCUAGCCCCACCCCCGAAGGCGAUAGCCCACCCGUUUUUGUGGCCUUUUUCCGCUGGACGAACUUGGCGCCCCAGCCUUCGGGUGGUUAUUUUUGGCACACGGAGGCCCCUCACAAAGUCUUGCGGCAUUCCGAGUCCGGCGGACGAAGUUGGCCAGCCCCAGCCCCCAAGGCUAUAGCCGACCCAUUUUUGUGGCCUUUUUCCAAUGGACGAACUUGGCGCCCCGGCCUUCGGGCGUUUAUUUUUGGGCCUGGCUGUGUCCGCGGCCUAUUUUUGGCACAUGGAGCCUGCUUGCAAAGCCUUGCGCCAUUCCGAGUCCGGCGGACGAAGUUGGCCAGCCCCACCCCCCAAGGCUAUAGCCCACCCGUUUUUGUGGCCUUUUUCCGCUGGACGAACUUGGUGCCCCGGCCUUCGGGAGGUUAUUUUUGGGCGCGGCUAUGUCCGCGGCCUAUUUUUGGCACACGGAGGCCGCUCGUAAAGUCUCUCGCCAUUCCGAGUCCGGCGGACGAAAUUGGCCAGCCCCACCCCCCAAGGCUAUAGCCCACCCGUUUUUGUGGCCUUUUUCCAAUGGACGAACUUGGCGCCCCGGCCUUCGGGCGUUUAUUUUUGGGCCCGGCUGUGCCCGCGGCCUAUUUUUGGCACAUGGAGCUUGCUCGCAAAGUCUCGCGCCAUUCCGAGUCCGGCGGACGAAGUUGGCCAGCCCCACCCCCCAAGGCUAUAGCCCACCCGUUUUUGUGGCCUUUUUCCGCUGGACGAACUUGGCGCCCCGGCCUUCGGGAGGUUAUUUUUGGGCGCGGCUAUGCCCGCGGCCUAUUUUUGGCACACGGAGGCCGCUCGUAAAGUCUCGCGCCAUUCCGAGUCCGGCGGACGAAGUUGGGCAGCCCCACCCCCCAAGCCUAUAGCCGACCCAUUUUUGUGGCCUUUUCCCAAUGGACGAACUUGGCGCCCCGGCCUUCGGGCGUUUAUUUUGGGGCCUGGCUGUGUCCGCGGCCUAUUUUUGGCACAUGGAGCCUGCUCGCAAAGUCUCGCGCCAUUCCGAGUCCGGCGGACGAAGUUGGCCAGCCCCACCCCCCAAGGCUAUAGCCCACCAGUUUUUGUGGCCUUUUUCCGCUGGAGGAACUGGACGCCCCGCCCUUC
This 7859-nucleotide long non-coding RNA is filed under the name Citrus x clementina. Its description in RNAcentral is "Citrus clementina (C. clementina) long non-coding RNA (CCLE_LNC003164)". The record is from RNAcentral. Lineage: Eukaryota; Viridiplantae; Streptophyta; Magnoliopsida; Sapindales; Rutaceae.